UACGUAGGGGGCGAGCGUUGUCCGGAUUUAUUGGGCGUAAAGAGCGUGUAGGCGGCCAGGUAGGUCUGCUGUGAAAACUCGAGGCUCAACCUCGAGACGUCGGCGGAAACCAUCUGGCUAGAGUCCGGAAGAGGAGAGUGGAAUUCCUGGUGUAGCGGUGAAAUGCGCAGAUAUCGGGAAGAACACCCGUGGCAAAGGCGGCUCUCUGGAACGCAACUGACGCUGAGACGCGAAAGCGUGGGGAGCAAACAGG
RNAcentral lists this ribosomal RNA (253 nucleotides) under uncultured bacterium. Its description in RNAcentral is "partial 16S ribosomal RNA". It matches the Rfam family "Bacterial small subunit ribosomal RNA", at positions 524 to 776 of the family's 1533-position model. The record is from RNAcentral.